RNAcentral lists this ribosomal RNA (465 nucleotides) under uncultured bacterium. Its description in RNAcentral is "partial 16S ribosomal RNA". It matches the Rfam family "Bacterial small subunit ribosomal RNA", at positions 28 to 507 of the family's 1533-position model. The record is from RNAcentral.
GACGAACGCUGGCGGCGUGCUUAACACAUGCAAGUCGAGCGAGGCCCCUCCUUCGGGAGGGUGUCCUAGCGGCGAACGGGUGAGUAACACGUGGGCAACCUGCCCUCAGCUCUGGGAUAACUCCGGGAAACCGGGGCUAAUACCGGAUACGACCUCCACGGGCAUCUGCGGAGGUGGAAAGUUUUUCGGCUGAGGAUGGGCCCGCGGCUUAUCAGCUAGUUGGUGGGGUAGUGGCCCACCAAGGCGACGACGGGUAGCCGGCCUGAGAGGGCGACCGGCCACACUGGGACUGAGACACGGCCCAGACUCCUACGGGAGGCAGCAGUGGGGAAUAUUGCGCAAUGGGCGAAAGCCUGACGCAGCGACGCCGCGUGAGGGACGAAGGCCUUCGGGUUGUAAACCUCUUUCAGCAGGGACGAAGCGAAAGUGACGGUACCUGCAGAAGAAGCACCGGCCAACUACGUG